UACGGAGGGUGCGAGCGUUAAUCGGAAUUACUGGGCGUAAAGCGCACGUAGGCGGCUUUGCAAGUCGGGUGUGAAAUCCCCGGGCUCAACCUGGGAACUGCAUCCGAGACUGCAUUGCUAGAGUAUGGGAGAGGGAAGCGGAAUUUCUGGUGUAGCAGUGAAAUGCGUAGAUAUCAGAAGGAACAUCAGUGGCGAAGGCGGCUUCCUGGACCAAUACUGACGAUCAGGUGCGAAAGCGUGGGGAGCAAACAGG
RNAcentral lists this ribosomal RNA (253 nucleotides) under uncultured bacterium. Its description in RNAcentral is "partial 16S ribosomal RNA". It matches the Rfam family "Bacterial small subunit ribosomal RNA", at positions 524 to 776 of the family's 1533-position model. The record is from RNAcentral.